RNAcentral lists this ribosomal RNA (476 nucleotides) under uncultured bacterium. RNAcentral describes it as "bacterial SSU rRNA". It matches the Rfam family "Bacterial small subunit ribosomal RNA", at positions 339 to 805 of the family's 1533-position model. The record is from RNAcentral.
CUACGGGAGGCAGCAGUGGGGAAUAUUGGACAAUGGGCGAAAGCCUGAUCCAGCCAUGCCGCGUGUGUGAAGAAGGUCUUCGGAUUGUAAAGCACUUUAAGUUGGGAGGAAGGGCAGUAACUUAAUACGUUGCUGUUUUGACGUUACCGACAGAAUAAGCACCGGCUAACUCUGUGCCAGCAGCCGCGGUAAUACAGAGGGUGCAAGCGUUAAUCGGAAUUACUGGGCGUAAAGCGCGCGUAGGUGGUUUGUUAAGUUGGAUGUGAAAGCCCCGGGCUCAACCUGGGAACUGCAUCCAAAACUGGCCAACUAGAGUACGGUAGAGGGUGGUGGAAUUUCCUGUGUAGCGGUGAAAUGCGUAGAUAUAGGAAGGAACACCAGUGGCGAAGGCGACCACCUGGACUGAUACUGACACUGAGGUGCGAAAGCGUGGGGAGCAAACACGGAUUAGAUAUCCCUGGUAGUCCACGCCGUAA